UACAGAGGGGGCAAGCGUUGUUCGGAAUUACUGGGCUUAAAGGGUGCGUAGGUGGGCAAGUAAGUCAGUGGUGAAAUCUCCGGGCUUAACCCGGAAACUGCCAUUGAUACUAUUUGUCUUGAAUACUGUGGAGGUCAGCGGAAUAUGUCAUGUAGCGGUGAAAUGCUUAGAUAUGACAUAGAACACCAAUUGCGAAGGCAGCUGGCUACACAAAUAUUGACACUGAGGCACGAAAGCGUGGGGAUCAAACAGG
RNAcentral lists this ribosomal RNA (253 nucleotides) under uncultured bacterium. RNAcentral's name for it is "partial 16S ribosomal RNA". It matches the Rfam family "Bacterial small subunit ribosomal RNA", at positions 524 to 776 of the family's 1533-position model. The record is from RNAcentral.